This 52-nucleotide microRNA precursor is filed under the name Pongo abelii (Sumatran orangutan). RNAcentral describes it as "mir-1302 microRNA precursor family". It matches the Rfam family "mir-1302 microRNA precursor family". The record is from Rfam by way of RNAcentral. Lineage: Eukaryota; Metazoa; Chordata; Mammalia; Primates; Hominidae.
UUUUUAGUACAAAUAUGUCCCAUGCAAUAUUUGGGACAUACUUACCCUAAAA